GUCUGUCUAAAUUUUAUCAACAAGCUUUGUUGGCAUGGAAAUUGUGCUAUUCACAUAAUUUCUCUCCUCACAAAACAAUAAUAUGGAACAACGAGAAUAUUACUAAAGGGAACAAGUCUCUCUAUUUUCAAAACUGGGUUGAAAAGAACAUAAUACUCAUGAAACACCUUUUUAACAGUGAAGGUCAAUUAAUGUCCUAUGAAGCAUUUCUUCAGAAACAAACAUUUCCUGUCAAACCCAAGGAAUAUAGAUCUGUGGUUAAUUCUAUUCCUAGUGGUUUGAUAGAACUAAUGAAAGGAUAUAAUAAUCAGCACGAGAUUCUUAACCCUCAAUGUACACUUUACAUAAAUGGCAUUCAAUUUAUGAGUUACAAAUGUACCAACAAACAUAUUAGGGAAUGCUUUUAUAACAAAAGAAAGAUAACACCGCGUGGAAAGGUUUUUUGGAAUUCUCAAAUUAAAGACAUAAAUUGGCGUAGAGCAUGGCUUGUCCCCUUUAAAUUCCUAUUAUCUAACAAAAAUAGAGAACUACAUCUUAAAUUGUUACACAACAUCUAUCCAACAAAUCUAUACAUUUCUAGAUUCUCAGAUGCUGAUGAUAAAUGCACUUUUUGUAAAGCUGAAACUGAAAAUAUAACUCACUUAUUUUAUAAAUGUUCGAUUUGUGUUACUUUUUGGAAAGACUUGGAGAAAUUUCUGUUUAACAAAACAACAGUUGAGUUUCGAUUUGAUGAGAAAAAUAUUAUUUUUGGUUUUUCUCCUCAAAAUAAUAAGUAUAACAUUGUGAACCUUUUUAUCUUAAUGGGUAAAUUUCACAUUCAUAAAGCCAAGAUGUCAAAAGCAAUCCCGUCAUUUACAUUAUUUUUAAUUGAAUUUAAACUUUAUUUUGAGUCUCUGAAAUAUAUAGAAAAUAACAAGAAAGGCUUAUUUGCUCUUCAAUUUUAUUCAGAAUACCUUGAUUGAGUUUGUCUGCCACUUUAUGUAAAUUUUUACUUUUCUAACUUUUGUGUCUGAUUCAUUAUUUAUUCGUUUCAUUUUUGAGCCUUACUCCACUUUCUUUUCUCUUCUUUCUUUUUCUUUCUAUUCCUGUUUUAUUAUAUUAAUUUGCCUUGAUUUGGAAAUGUCUGAUUGUUUGUAUAUACUUUAUUCCUGUUAUUAUUCCUUGUCCACUGUUGAAUUUAAAUAAAGCUUUAAAAAAAAAAAAAAAUUUGAAGCUCAAAAUACUCCGCUCUGGACGUCGCCAUCUUGGCAGUGCCUGACUCCGCCCAACUCCCGGACAAUCAAAAAUGGGCAAAGAGGCGGGCCAAAGGAAGCCCACCUCGCUCGGCGCUGCUAAGUUAGCUAAGGCUAACAAGCUAGGCUAAGAAGCUACUUUGGCUAAGAAGCUACGCUACUUUGGCUAGCCCUGUGGUGUUGGCUGCUCCCUUGGUGCCAGCUCCCUCACGAAACUUGAGCGUGGAUCAUUGGUGACAGCUAUGUCCGGCGUGGUGUCCAGAGAGCUGCAGAGACCUUGGGAAGUACCCUCAGCAUGCCGGGCGUCCGUGUCUGCUGGUUUGGCUGGGGUGGACUGCAGUGAAGAGGCCUUCUCUCCUUCUUUUCGCACUCCCUGCGAGGAAGAGCAGCACCAGAUGUCCUCAUCAUCCACUGUGGCGGCAGUGACAUGGGGAAGGUUAGCAGUGUCAAGAAGCUGGUCAGCAUGAUGAAGGAGGACCUGCACCAGCUUCACCUCCAGCAUCCUGGCAUUAAGAUAAUAUUUUCUUCACUGGCCCAAAGAUGCAGGUGGGAGGCUGGUGGCAAUCCAGCAAAGAUUGAUAAAUCCAGGAAAUGUGUGUUAUGGCUACAUUUGUUCAUAGUUUAAAUGGUGCCAUAAUUGAGCACCCUCACAUCAGACACAUUCAUCUCACACCUAGGGGAAAUUAUACGUUUUUAAGUAAAUUAGUUAAUUGUCUUAAAGACCACCAAACGCAGUGAACUGCUUACUGUUGGCAGUGUCACUGCUUUUGAAUUUGGCCUUUAGGACACAUUUUGUUAGGCUUGAUCAUAGCCCAGGCUGUCAUGGCUAAUGUUGAGCUUUUGAUAUUCAUCUAUAACUUGUUUAAAAUUUCAAUAAAUUCUAUUUACAUUUGCA
Molecule: long non-coding RNA, 2127 nt
Organism: Epinephelus fuscoguttatus (brown-marbled grouper)
Lineage: Eukaryota; Metazoa; Chordata; Actinopteri; Perciformes; Serranidae
Exons: 2
Source: RefSeq, a predicted model, not a curated record